AUCAGCCGCCGUCCCCGUGUGAUGACAGAUUAAUACACACCUGGCCUGACCCUAAGCUCGCUGGCUGCCCUGUUGAAUGUCAGGGGAGGGAGUCGCCAUGGAAACAGAUGGACAGCCUCGUCAGCUGUUCAUUAUAUGGGGGGAGAAGACCAAAUACUUGGUGUAGUGACUGUCUGAGAAUAAAGCAGGUAUUUUUCAUCAGGACAGUCCUUCCACUCUGCUGUGAUUGUGUCACCUUGACACCGUUCCUAUACAAUGGCCUCAUAGACAGCGGACAGUGGGCCAGAGGGACAGGUCUCCACACUGAGCCUCACCGCUUAGCUGCACUGCCAGGAAGAGUGCGCCACCUACAGGUGCUGACAGGGAGUGAGACGCUGGAGGUCAAGACAAGUUGUAUGAAACCAGUCUGUAUGAGCAGAUGGAGGUUGAUUCAAUGAUUUCAUACCUCACUACUAAUACUUGUAUCGUGAAUCAAUGGAUUGCUCUUCAAAUGGAUGAUGAAAGGAAGAAGGAAGAAAAUCACUAGAUGUUAUUACAAGUGAUCCCGCAAAGACAUGACUUUGUUUUAAAAGAACAGGCUGCUAUGUUUUCUACUUUUCUACUUAUCUCAAAAUAAACUUCCAAGCUCUGUGUAAAGACCA
Molecule: long non-coding RNA, 641 nt
Organism: Acanthopagrus latus (yellowfin seabream)
Lineage: Eukaryota; Metazoa; Chordata; Actinopteri; Spariformes; Sparidae
Exons: 2
Source: RefSeq, a predicted model, not a curated record